CAACCAGGUUCUUCAUGAAUGCUUCAACUGGAGACUCCUGAAACCACGAGUCUCCAAUUUCAUGAGUGUCCAACUUUGCCCAACGUGCUGCAUGACUGAGCAGAGGCCUGAAGAAGUGCAUGCAAAGAGCAACGGAGGCCUCAGUGUUGACCCAGACGCAGAAGCGGCUCGGUGAAGUCUGGCUGAUCACCACUCAGCUUCCUCAGUGUCGACGGGGGAGACUCUGCAAAGCCAAUGUUGCCAGGCUGCUCAAACCUUUUGUCUCCAGCAGUCCCACUUCUGCUGUGGGGAGGGCGGCAUUGCUCAACAGCUCAGGUAACACCUUCACCUUCCACGUGCACAGGAAUGAAGUGGCACAGGCUGGUCACUGCAGUACUUCACCAGCAGGGCACAAGAGCUGUCCUGGCAGUGGGGGUGAGAGAGCAGCACAGCGAGCAGGGGCAGGAGCUCCGCUAAGCUCCUGGGCAGCCUGAUCCAGUGUCUGGUCAAUGGAGAGGUGAGGAGAGACCCUCCAUGACUCCAGCAAGGCACCCACUUUGACACUGGCUUUCCCAGCUAACUAACUGGGACAGAAGAGCUCAGGCAUCCCACCUUGUGCUUAGGGUUGUGGAACAGACCUUGCCCUCAGACUGUCAAUUGCUCUGUUCCAUAACCUUUUCCUCCUGUGUCUUCCUCACCUCUGCCAGCUCCUUGUUUUCACUGUCUUCUUCUUGGCAUCCCCAGUUCCUGUCUGUGGUCUCUGCUGUCUUUCUACCUCCCUUCUCAUCAUCUUCUGAUGCUUUCUCACCACCCCUUCCUACCAGCAUCCCUGCAGCUUCCAUGUGCCAGCCCCCAGAUUCUUUCUCUCCUCAUUUCCUACCUCCUACCCUUCUACAUGGCAAUCAGCACGCUCCUCCUCCAGGUAGUCUGACAUCACAUCUAGCCACAACUUGGAGAGAGGCUCACCACAAGUUCUCACAUGUCCAAAGCUCAGUGGAGCAACUGCAGAUAAAGCCUUGCUCAGCGAGGGAUGCCUGGGACAGCACAGGCUCUCCUGCUCCCUGGGACUGUGCACACCACUGCUUUUUGGAGAUAAAGACCUGAUUAGCUCUGGGUAGGUUUUUUGUUUGUUUGUUUUUAUUAUUUUUUUCAAAAGGGUAGCAACAAAUUACAUAUUGACCCCUUUCCAGACAAGUAUCAAGGCCCUCUAAAACGGUCAGUGACAAUAUAGUACAAAAAAAGAAAAAGAAAAAAAGAGAAAGAGAAAAAAAAAAAUAUACAGGGCAAAGCAUUGUCAUUUUCCUGAACUUAUUCUCAGAAACCAAAGAAUCAUUUUAGCCAAAACUUAAAAAUUUAAUUAAUUAAUCAUGCUGAAGCAAGAGACCUAGGAUGGAAAAUUUUAGGCUAAAUACUCAGUGACUGGCAAUGUUACAAGCAACUACAAGGAAAAAAAAAAAUCUGAAUAACACGAAGUGCUGGCUAACUUUACCCAGCGCUGCCCUUGAUAUGCAGAUUCUCAGAAGCGCAAUACCCCUCCUGUCAAAUUUAUCACUGUGGUAAUGCUGGUACCAACUUAGUGAGAGUUUUGCCUGAGUAAAGGCUAAGAAAAAUAUUGAGUAAGGACUUGGGACGUUGCCUGCUAAAAUCAUGGUGCAAAUAAAGUGCAAUGGCACUGCA
RNAcentral lists this long non-coding RNA (1656 nucleotides) under Anas platyrhynchos platyrhynchos (common mallard). RNAcentral's name for it is "lncRNA (ENSAPLG00000019718.1)". The record is from RNAcentral. Lineage: Eukaryota; Metazoa; Chordata; Aves; Anseriformes; Anatidae.